UCGACGGCAGCACGGAGCUUGCUCUGGUGGCGAGUGGCGAACGGGUGAGUAAUAUAUCGGAACGUACCCUAGAGUGGGGGAUAACGUAGCGAAAGUUACGCUAAUACCGCAUACGAUCUAAGGAUGAAAGUGGGGGAUCGCAAGACCUCAUGCUCGUGGAGCGGCCGAUAUCUGAUUAGCUAGUUGGUAGGGUAAAAGCCUACCAAGGCAUCGAUCAGUAGCUGGUCUGAGAGGACGACCAGCCACACUGGAACUGAGACACGGUCCAGACUCCUACGGGAGGCAGCAGUGGGGAAUUUUGGACAAUGGGCGAAAGCCUGAUCCAGCAAUGCCGCGUGAGUGAAGAAGGCCUUCGGGUUGUAAAGCUCUUUUGUCAGGGAAGAAACGGUGAGAGCUAAUAUCUUUUGCUAAUGACGGUACCUGAAGAAUAAGCACCGGCUAACUACGUGCCAGCAGCCGCGGUAAUACGUAGGGUGCAAGCGUUAAUCGGAAUUACUGGGCGUAAAGCGUGCGCAGGCGGUUUUGUAAGUCUGAUGUGAAAUCCCCGGGCUCAACCUGGGAAUUGCAUUGGAGACUGCAAGGCUAGAAUCUGGCAGAGGGGGGUAGAAUUCCACGUGUAGCAGUGAAAUGCGUAGAUAUGUGGAGGAACACCGAUGGCGAAGGCAGCCCCCUGGGUCAAGAUUGACGCUCAUGCACGAAAGCGUGGGGAGCAAACAGGAUUAGAUACCCUGGUAGUCCACGCCCUAAACGAUGUCUACUAGUUGUCGGGUCUUAAUUGACUUGGUAACGCAGCUAACGCGUGAAGUAGACCGCCUGGGGAGUACGGUCGCAAGAUUAAAACUCAAAGGAAUUGACGGGGACCCGCACAAGCGGUGGAUGAUGUGGAUUAAUUCGAUGCAACGCGAAAAACCUUACCUACCCUUGACAUGGCUGGAAUCCUUGAGAGAUCAGGGAGUGCUCGAAAGAGAACCAGUACACAGGUGCUGCAUGGCUGUCGUCAGCUCGUGUCGUGAGAUGUUGGGUUAAGUCCCGCAACGAGCGCAACCCUUGUCAUUAGUUGCUACGAAAGGGCACUCUAAUGAGACUGCCGGUGACAAACCGGAGGAAGGUGGGGAUGACGUCAAGUCCUCAUGGCCCUUAUGGGUAGGGCUUCACACGUCAUACAAUGGUACAUACAGAGCGCCGCCAACCCGCGAGGGGGAGCUAAUCGCAGAAAGUGUAUCGUAGUCCGGAUUGUAGUCUGCAACUCGACUGCAUGAAGUUGGAAUCGCUAGUAAUCGCGGAUCAGCAUGUCGCGGUGAAUACGUUCCCGGG
Molecule: ribosomal RNA, 1314 nt
Filed under: Janthinobacterium sp. UV1
Lineage: Bacteria; Pseudomonadati; Pseudomonadota; Betaproteobacteria; Burkholderiales; Oxalobacteraceae
Description: bacterial SSU rRNA
Rfam family: Bacterial small subunit ribosomal RNA
Source: RNAcentral